UAGGGAAUCUUCCACAAUGGACGCAAGUCUGAUGGAGCAACGCCGCGUGAGUGAAGAAGGUUUUCGGACCGUAAAGCUCUGUUGUUGGUGAAGAAGGAUAGAGGUAGUAACUGGCCUUUAUUUGACGGUAAUCAACCAGAAAGUCACGGCUAACUACGUGCCAGCAGCCGCGGUAAUACGUAGGUGGCAAGCGUUGUCCGGAUUUAUUGGGCGUAAAGCGAGCGCAGGCGGAAGAAUAAGUCUGAUGUGAAAGCCCUCGGCUUAACCGAGGAAUUGCAUCGGAAACUGUUUUCUUGAGUGCAGAAGAGGAGAGUAGAACUCCAUGUGUAGCGGUGGAAUGCGUAGAUAU
This 349-nucleotide ribosomal RNA is filed under the name uncultured bacterium. RNAcentral's name for it is "partial 16S ribosomal RNA". It matches the Rfam family "Bacterial small subunit ribosomal RNA", at positions 355 to 697 of the family's 1533-position model. The record is from RNAcentral.